This 253-nucleotide ribosomal RNA is filed under the name uncultured bacterium. RNAcentral's name for it is "partial 16S ribosomal RNA". It matches the Rfam family "Bacterial small subunit ribosomal RNA", at positions 524 to 776 of the family's 1533-position model. The record is from RNAcentral.
UACGUAGGGACCGAGCGUUGUCCGGAUUCAUUGGGCGUAAAGAGCUCGUAGGCGGCUGUUCAAGUCGAACGUGAAAACUCGGAGCUCAACUCCGAGCCUGCGUUCGAUACUGGAUGGCUAGAGUCUGGUAGGGGGAUCUGGAAUUCCUGGUGUAGCGGUGGAAUGCGCAGAUACCUGCAGGAACACCCGUGGCGAAAGCGGCGCGCUGGACCACUACUGACGCUGAGGAACGAAAGCUAGGGGAGCAAACAGG